AUGCACUGAUACUGUGAUACCAUUGUGUUCUGUUCUACUUGAGGGGCCGAGGCAGUAAGAGAGACACCAUGCUGAUUGCCGAGCAAACUGUAGCUGCUAUCUAGAGCAAAGCUGUGGAUGCUACUAGGUACUUCGGUUAUUUACUUAUUUUAUAGGUUUGGAAGGAAUCGGGGAUCUCUGCAUCAGGUUGCCAGGUCUUAGCAGAUGGUAAUGGAUCAUGGUUCUUAUGCUUCCUUCGCAAUGUAAUUUAACCCUAAAUAUAUUUAGCUCAAAAUCAUAUAGUAUCAUAGCUCGGCCAGCUCGAUCUUUAAAUUUGCUAGGCUAAAUUAGAGGGUCCUUUACCACCUCUAGAUAUGACAAAGCACUGCCAAGCACCGGUGCUCGGUGCACAGGGGAGCAGCAUGAGCGAUAAACGACACAAGUGGAGGACAAAGGGUUGCCAUUGCCUUUAGCUACGAUGCCAACUUGGCCAUACACAUGAGGGGUAUAGAGUGAGGGAGACAUCAUUGAAGCUGUAGCUGCUAUCUAGAGCAUAAGCUCACGACAAAGCUGUGGAUUGCCUAACAUGUAGUG
RNAcentral lists this long non-coding RNA (573 nucleotides) under Setaria viridis. Its description in RNAcentral is "long non-coding RNA (SVIR_LNC000920)". The record is from RNAcentral. Lineage: Eukaryota; Viridiplantae; Streptophyta; Magnoliopsida; Poales; Poaceae.